RNAcentral lists this ribosomal RNA (892 nucleotides) under uncultured bacterium. RNAcentral describes it as "bacterial SSU rRNA". It matches the Rfam family "Bacterial small subunit ribosomal RNA", at positions 8 to 916 of the family's 1533-position model. The record is from RNAcentral.
AGAGUUUGAUCCUGGCUCAGGACGAACGCUGGCGGCGUGCCUAACACAUGCAAGUCGAACGGAGAUACGAUUUCGGUUGUAUCUUAGUGGCGAACGGGUGAGUAACGCGUUGGUGACCUGCCCCAAAGUGAGGGAUAACAGCCCGAAAGGGUUGCUAAUACCUCAUGUGGUCUUUGAGAUCAGAUGCUCUUAGACUAAAGGAUUUAUUCGCUUUGGGAGGGGCCUGCGUCCCAUCAGCUUGUUGGUGAGGUAAUGGCUUACCAAGGCUAUGACGGGUAGGGGACCUGAGAGGGUGACCCCCCACAAUGGAACUGAAACACGGUCCAUACACCUACGGGUGGCAGCAGUAGGGAAUAUUGGUAAUGGGCGAAAGCCUGAACCAGCAACGCCGCGUGUGCGAAGAAGGCCUUCGGGUUGUAAAGCACUUUUUAAGGGGAUGAGGAAGGACAGUACCCUUAGAAUAAGCCUCGGCUAACUACGUGCCAGCAGCCGCGGUAACACGUAGGAGGCAAGCGUUAUUCGGAUUUACUGGGCGUAAAGCGCGUGCAGGCGGUUUGGUAAGUUGGAUGUGAAAGCUCCCGGCCUAACUGGGAGAGGUCGUUCAAUACUACCAGACUAGAGGAUGGGAGAGGGAGGUGGAAUUCCGGGUGUAGUGGUGAAAUGCGUAGAUAUCCGGAGGAACACCAGUGGCGAAAGCGGCCUCCUGGCCCAUUUCUGACGCUCAGACGCGAAAGCUAGGGUAGCAAACGGGAUUAGAGACCCCGGUAGUCCUAGCUGUAAACGAUGUGAACUUGGCGUCGGCGGGUUUAAAUCCGUCAGUGCCGAAGCUAACGCGAUAAGUUCACCGCCUGGGGACUACGGCCGCAAGGUUAAAACUCAAAGGAAUUGACGG